Molecule: long non-coding RNA, 1193 nt
Filed under: Heterocephalus glaber (naked mole-rat)
Lineage: Eukaryota; Metazoa; Chordata; Mammalia; Rodentia; Bathyergidae
Description: lncRNA (ENSHGLG00000033312.1)
Source: RNAcentral
CUCGCCUUGCCGCAGGAGACUCAGACCCCCUCCCACAGGGCAGUCACCAGCCUCCUCCCAGUAGCAAAUGAUUUGAUGGGGGCUCUUUUCUUUCGAAAGGACCUGGGGGUCAGCGGACGUUCGGACUCAUUGCGAAGUGAAGAACCUUACUGGGGGAUUUUUUUUCUUUCAUUCUUUCCCUUUUUUUUUGUAAUUAAAAAACCCUUUUCAGAACUAAAGGAGGAAACAGAUUCUUCCCUUUCCCAUUUUAAGCACUUAUGGGAGGAAGCGAAGAUAGGAAAGGCGAACCAGUCAACUGGAGUGGAGUAGGAGCUCAGAUGAAAAAGAAGACAGGAAAAGGAGAGAGGGAAACCUUAAGAUCCUGGCACCAAGAAGGAGCUGGGGGCUCUGACCACGGCCCGCAUGAGGAGUUAAACCCUUUCUAACUAACCUUCCAGGCAUCUAGAGACAGACCUCUCAGAUCUGAAAAGAAAGCCUGGCUGCCUUUAUUUAUAUUCAAUCUUCAAAGCCUAAUAUAUUAAAAUGAGAGUUCAUUUUUCCCACGACAUUCUGGAAAUCUUGUAUACAAGCAAAGAAAUGACCAUUUAUAAUGUUCUGCAGAAGAAUCCUGGAGCUUUAGGCCCUGGUGGAUUAUAAAUAAGAAAAAAAGGAACAAAUAUCUCAAAAUGUAUUGAUCUGAGUGCUGAAUAAUCUCAUUCUUCAAAGUGGAAAGUAACCCUGUUUUUGCAGAUAAGGAAACAGAGUUGUUAUUGCAAUCAACUGGACUGUUUUUGAAAUGCAAGCGAGGCACGUACACCCUCUAGUGGAGAAUCUAAUUAGCAAUGGAAUUUUACAAAAGGAAUUUCUAUGGAAAGAUUUUGUCAAGGAACAGCUGGACAUUGUCACCUCCAUGGUCCAAAUCUAAAUCUUCUAAUGAAUAGAAAAAUUCAGUUUCUCAAUGAAAAGAAGGUAGAUAAAAGUAGCAAUCUCUUAUUGAUUGAGUUAACAUUAAUUAUUGAAUAUCAAAUGCAGACCAUGUAUUGUUUUAGGGGUUUUUUGUUUUUUGUUUUUGUACCAGGGAUUGAACUUGGGACCUUGCGCUUGUGAGACAGGCGUCGGAACCACUGAGCUAAAUCCCCGGCCCAGGAGUUCUUUUUUUAAAAAGGACACAUUCAGUUUUAGAUUCUAUAGAAUAUUCAAGUGCAGAUGUCGGG